AAGAAGUUCUUGCAAGUAUUAGUUGCCGAGGUAUCCAUCUUCAGAAAGACCAAUUCUCAAGUAUGCCUGAGAAUAAUGAUGAUGCCAAAGUCUAUGUAGAAGAACAUGGGGAUAAUUGCAAUGAUGGGUCAGCUGGUUGCAUAAAUAAUGAGAUCAACAAUGGUGCUGAAGGAGAUGGUAGGGUGAAAUAGUAGAUACGAUAUUCUUUUAGCACCAACUACCCUUCUCCCGGCACCAACUACCCUUCUUCUAGAACCAACUUCCCUUCUUUCUUGGUGCAUUUGAGGUCGUCCUUCGAGGUGAUUAACAAGGGAUUCAUUGCUUGUCAAGACCUGCCAUGACAUCAACCCGUUGUCAAUUAUUAGUGACCACCUUUAUUCACUGGAUGAUAAAUUGAAGAGGGGAAGACCCCCUCCAUUGCUCAAGAAUGCUUGUGAACAUGUUGCAGUAAGCGAAGAGCCAGUGACGGAAACUGCUUCAGUGAUUGAUCCUGCGUCUAUAUCGAGGUGCUGCAUAAAGAAGGGUUUGGUUUCGGCAGCCCCCCAUGUUCUUGGGACAUCCGAUGCAGGUGUAGACAAUGCCCUACUCCUUCCAGCAGUGCUGCCUCCUACUCCUCCUCUUCUCGGAACAUCCGACAUAGCUGCCGGCAUGCCUUGCACCUUCCAGCAGUGCUGCCUCCUACUCCUCUUCUUCUCGGAACAUCCGACAUAGCUGCCGGCACUGCCCUGCACCUUCCAGCAGUGCUACCUCCUACUCCUCUUCUUCUCGGAACAUUCGACAUAGCUGCUGGCACUGCCCUGUACCUUCUGGCAGUGCUGCCUUCUACUCCUCUUCUUCUCGGAACAUUCGACAUAGCUGCUGGCACUGCCCUGUACCUUCCGGCAGUGCUGCCUCCUUUUAUUUCACAGGUUGUUUUCUUUGGCUUGGGGUCAGUUGGCUCAGUGCACAGCUUCCAUCUUUCUUGAUACCAUAGGAUGUACAAAUCUUCAACAUGUGUAACUUUGUUUUUGCAA
This is a non-coding RNA of Prunus avium (sweet cherry), 1013 nucleotides long. NCBI's taxonomy places the organism in Eukaryota, Viridiplantae, Streptophyta, Magnoliopsida, Rosales, Rosaceae. The record is from RefSeq and is a predicted model, not a curated record.